ACCCGUGUACGGCCGGGGACUCACUGCAGUUGAAGCACGCCAUCUCGCCACCAUGUAUGUUGUGUGUUCUUGUGCUGCAGGUCCUUGGGGUUGGGUGUUCUUGUCGCCACCAUGUUCAUGCAGGCACGAAUUGGACUGAGAAAUGCUAACAGAGGAGGAGAAGACCAUGCAAGUCCUUGGGGUUGGGUGCGGCAACUCGCGGCUCAAAGACAAUCUUUUGUGGUGGGGCGUCGCUGCCGCUGGCGGCACCUGCAUAGACCGUCUCGCUGGGAAUGAAGAGAUGCUCCCCUGAUUUAGAGCUGUAGAAAGGAGGUGGUUGCAGACACAAAGUGUGCGGCGCCGACGAUGACAACCUUUCUAUCGACGCAAGGGCAGCAGGAGCUCAUGACGCUGUUGAUGCCACCACCAUGCACGGGGUUGAUGCAAGGCGGGACAAUGCGAUCACUAAUGGGGAGAACAUAAAACUUCAAUUGAGGGCACUGUGAUUCUCUAGCUACAUGUAUCAU
Non-coding RNA from Triticum urartu, 506 nucleotides. The record is from RefSeq and is a predicted model, not a curated record. Lineage: Eukaryota; Viridiplantae; Streptophyta; Magnoliopsida; Poales; Poaceae.